Molecule: long non-coding RNA, 1629 nt
Organism: Gallus gallus (chicken)
Lineage: Eukaryota; Metazoa; Chordata; Aves; Galliformes; Phasianidae
Source: Ensembl
AUAAUUAAGACACUGUUUAUAGGAGCACUGAACUACAGGAGUAAUGUUACCUGCACAAGAGCUACAAAUUUGUCCAUUUUAAAAGGAACAUAUUUAUUGUACUUCAUCUGUUACUCUAAUUACCAACCAUAUGGCUGAAGUUGGAACACACUUGGUUAAUGACAGAACUGUAAAGAGAUACAUUUCUUAUUCCAGAGUCUGGAUGUAUAGCUCAUUCCUAAGGAUAAAGCCAAGUGUUGCUUUCACAUCCAGGCAUAAUGUCUUUGAAAUAUCUCUUUAAUUGUGAUUGCAAACUUUUAUCUAGCCCUGUGAAUUAUACACAAAUGGGAUGGGAUACAAUGCUUGUGGUAAUCCAUGCUAUCACGCUUUACUCAAAAUAGGAUAUCAAAGUAAGAGUAAGCAUUCAUGCUAUACUCAUUAAGCAGUUUCACUGGAUAAGAAAAAACUCAGGUCAGUUGUUCACCCCUGCUCCUCAAAUAGGAGAUACAUUAUUAACAGCGUCAUCAAAAACACUGUCUUCAGAUACUAGGAGAGAGACUGAGCACACAGCCUGAAUUUAUUCCUUUAUCAAAAUAGAAAGAGCUUCAGAGAUUUUCCAUUAUACGCAACAUGGAGAAUAGCACUGGCAUCAGUAAUCAUUAGAAGAGAAGCGAACUAGGUCUUAAAUAUUAUCUAUUCUUUAUGUUGGUUGUAUAUGACAAUAAAUGACAUUUCACUGAAUGACUUGUGUUUCUUUUCUAUGCCUACAUUUGGACUAUUUCAAUGCACUAUUAUAUUUUCUUACAUAAUUCAAUGUACUUAAAAAAAAACCUCAUAACUUUCUAAAUGUUUAAAGUUACAGACAAGUUAAAAAACAAUAAUUUUAAUACAUAUAUGCCUGGAAAGGCACUUGCAGUGUUGACCUUAUCAGAUUUCAAUCUAUCCCAUUGUUCUGCUGAUCUAUUUCUUUCAUCUCUUAUUCAACAACAUAACAUCCAGCUUUUCUUGUAUAUAAUAAUGAAACAUUAAAACGUUGAGAUAUGAUGUACAUCUACUGCCAAGUGCACUAUAUCAAGAAACAGUAUCUAGUAUGUGCUUGAUUACUGUAGAAAGUGCACCAGUUUGCUUAUGAAUAUUUAUGUAGUAUUGAAUAGCUGGACCAGGACAGAUCAAGAUUUUCAUUACUAUUUUUCCUGCUGCUUUGAUACUGCAGCAAAGGACAAGAGCACUAUUCCUAUCAGCUGUGCAACACUGGAUAUUGCACAAAACCAACGUAACAAAGGAUGUUUUUUCAACAAUCUUGAUACCAACCGACAUGAGAAAAUCCCACAUGAAGGUUGACAACCAGAAGACAAAAGCUACUUGUUCAAAAUUACUGCAGUAGUACAAACAACAUUACAGAUGGCAGAAGACAAUCUGUUACCUUCUCCACAUAAAAGCUAAGAAAGGCAGAGACAACAGCACUUGAAAGUACUUAAGAACAAACAGAUGACCAAUGAAACCGGAACACGAACAAGUGGAAAAUACAAGAAGGAAGUUGCAUCAACAGAUCUUCAGGCAGAAUACUGCUUAAGAUGCAGAAGACAUAACACCAGCUUCUAUUUGGCAUAGGAGACAGAGCAAAUCACCAAAGCAGGUCAAUCAAGGUAU